This 484-nucleotide ribosomal RNA is filed under the name uncultured bacterium. RNAcentral describes it as "partial 16S ribosomal RNA". It matches the Rfam family "Bacterial small subunit ribosomal RNA", at positions 30 to 507 of the family's 1533-position model. The record is from RNAcentral.
AUUGAACGCUGGCGGCAGGCCUAACACAUGCAAGUCGAGCGGAUGAAGGGAGCUUGCUCCUGGAUUCAGCGGCGGACGGGUGAGUAAUGCCUAGGAAUCUGCCUGGUAGUGGGGGAUAACGUCCGGAAACGGGCGCUAAUACCGCAUACGUCCUGAGGGAGAAAGUGGGGGAUCUUCGGACCUCACGCUAUCAGAUGGGCCUAGGUCGGAUUAGCUAGUUGGUGGGGUAAAGGCCUACCAAGGCGACGAUCCGUAACUGGUCUGAGAGGAUGAUCAGUCACACUGGAACUGAGACACGGUCCAGACUCCUACGGGAGGCAGCAGUGGGGAAUAUUGGACAAUGGGCGAAAGCCUGAUCCAGCCAUGCCGCGUGUGUGAAGAAGGUUUUCGGAUUGUAAAGCACUUUAAGUUGGGAGGAAGGGCAGUAAGUUAAUACCUUGCUGUUUUGACGUUACCAACAGAAUAAGCACCGGCUAACUUCGUG